Molecule: ribosomal RNA, 429 nt
Filed under: uncultured bacterium
Lineage: Bacteria
Description: bacterial SSU rRNA
Rfam family: Bacterial small subunit ribosomal RNA
Source: RNAcentral
UGAGGAAUAUUGCGCAAUGGGCGAAAGCCUGACGCAGCGACGCCGCGUGGAGGAUGAAGGUCUUCGGAUUGUAAACUUCUGUUAAGUGGGAAGAAAGGCGCAGAUUUAAUAGAUUUGCGAGAUGACGGUACCAUUAAAGAAAGCACCGGCUAACUUCGUGCCAGCAGCCGCGGUAAUACGAAGGGUGCGAGCGUUAUUCGGAAUGAUUGGGCGUAAAGGGUGCGCAGACGGUGUGUUAAGUCAACUGUUAAAUUCUUCGGCCUAACCGGGGGUAAGCAGUAGAAACUGGCAUGCUAGAGGGUGAAAGAGAGAAGUGGAAUUCUCGGAGUAGCGGUAAAAUGUGUAGAUCUCGAGAGGAACACCGAUGGCGAAGGCAGCUUCUUGGUUCAUUUCUGACGUUCAUGCACGAAAGCGUGGGGAGCAAACAGG